UACGUAGGUGGCAAGCGUUGUCCGGAUUUAUUGGGCGUAAAGCGAGCGCAGGCGGUUUCUUAAGUCUGAUGUGAAAGCCCCCGGCUUAACCGGGGAGGGUCAUUGGAAACUGAGGAACUUGAGUGCAGAAGAGGAGAGUGGAAUUUCAUGUGUAGCGGUGAAAUGCGUAGAUAUAUGGAGGAACACCAGUGGCGAAGGCGACUCUUUGGUCUGUAACUGACGCUGAGGCUCGAAAGCGUGGGGAGCAAACAGG
This 253-nucleotide ribosomal RNA is filed under the name uncultured bacterium. RNAcentral describes it as "partial 16S ribosomal RNA". It matches the Rfam family "Bacterial small subunit ribosomal RNA", at positions 524 to 776 of the family's 1533-position model. The record is from RNAcentral.